GAGAAAAUAUUUAUAACUUGCCGAUAAAUCUAAAAAAAAGUUACAUUACUUUGCGAACGUGAUCCACAACAAAUCCAAUUAAUUUCACAAAUCCCUCGCAGAACCUAAUAUCCAAAAAUUACAUUCUUCUUUUAAAAUUCAUCACAAUAUAUGUAUACAAAAGCUUAAAUUUUAAUAUCCUCCUAUGGCUGAUCCUGCAGAAGUGCCUAGCACCCCGAGUUCGGAUUUAUACUCGUAAACCAUCCCCUCUCUUUACUUAUUUAUUUAUUUUCUUUUUCCUUCUUUUCUUUUUCUUUUCUUCUUUUCUUUUUCUUUUCCCUUCUUCUCCUGACUCCUCUCUUCUUGUUUGGUGAAAUAGGGGGCCCGUGUCCCCCCCUUCUUCCCUCUCGGUCGGAUUCAGGGGCGACCGUGGUGGCCGGCCCCGAUGGCGACAGGAGGCGGCAGAGCAAGCCUGACCACCCCCGACGGCUGGCGGCGGC
Molecule: long non-coding RNA, 479 nt
Filed under: Phoenix dactylifera (date palm)
Lineage: Eukaryota; Viridiplantae; Streptophyta; Magnoliopsida; Arecales; Arecaceae
Description: long non-coding RNA (PDAC_LNC009009)
Source: RNAcentral